Molecule: unclassified non-coding RNA, 844 nt
Filed under: Hevea brasiliensis (rubber tree)
Lineage: Eukaryota; Viridiplantae; Streptophyta; Magnoliopsida; Malpighiales; Euphorbiaceae
Source: RNAcentral
GGAAGUUCCGCCGGAGUUACCGGAGCCGGUGUUAGGUAUCAAUUUUGCUAGGGAUGGGAUGGAGCGUAGAGACUGGUUGUCUUUGGUUGCUAUGCACACAGAUUCGUGGCUGCUCUCUGUCGCUUUCUACUUUGGUGCUCGCUUAAACAGAAAUGAAAGGAGUCGUGUGUUUACCCUGAUAAAUGAUCUACCAACUGUCUUUGAAGUCGUGUGUUUACCCUGAUAAAUGAUCUACCAACUGUCUUUGAAGCCGUGACAGGGAGGAAGCCUUUAAAGGACAAACCUAGUGUUGAUAGUGGAAAGAAAUCAAAGAACAAUGCAAAGAGAGAAAAACAAAUGAAAGCAAAUCAAAGGCUGCAAGAGGAGAGUGAUGAUGAGGAUGAAGGGAAUGAAGAUGAGCAUGAAGAAACUCUAUGUGGAAGUUGUGGAACAAAUGGCAAUGAGGAUGAGUUCUGGAUUGGCUGUGAUAUAUGUGAAAAGUGGUAUCAUGGCAAGUGUGUGAAAAUAACUCCUGCAAAGGCUCAAAGUAUCAAGGAAUACAGAUGUCCUUCAUGCAGCAAUAAAAGGGCAAAACAUAUGGCUUGAGUUAAUAGCUUUAGGAAGAGUUGAGUUCAUGUUAGCAUAACCUGAAGAUUCCUUAAAUCUGCAGAUGAACCCCCUGACCUGCACAACUCCCAUUCUGCAGCCCCUUACUCUGUCUUUAAUUUAUACUUUUGUUUCUUUUCUCAGAAGUUAUUUCUGUUUGUCGUUAGUUUACAGAUGUAGCUUUAUAUCAGGAGGGAUAAAAUCAAGUUCCUUGUAACUGUUGGCAUGUUCAGUUCCUUUUCGUAUAACUCUAUUAAAA